AUUGAAUUGUUUAAGCAAACGAGGUUGAGCAGUGAUGACGGCGGGCGAUGUUGAGCAUAGACGAUGAAGAUCCUUCAAUAGAAUAGUACUCGGAUGCGACGUGUCUCCAUACACAACGUUAUCUGCUCUUGACUCUUCCACUGCAGUGCAAAAGUCGAGUUUGCACUGUUUUUAUCGUGCACUCUGAUAUAUACUAUAACAUAUUGGGGUUUGAUGAUGCAUUCAACUACAAUGAAGAAUCGUACCUGAAUGAAGCCAUAAAGAGGAGGCAAAAUGCUCGAUUCGGUGCUCCCGAACAUUAGACCCCACGGUCGCAACACCGCCUGCAGGACGAUCUCGCAGUAUGACGAGGAGGAGCCAAACGCGACACACAACUUGAUGUAUGUGAUCGUAAAGAAAAUCCGAAUGCAAGGAUUCGUCGUCUUCGACUACUUCAUUGUUGAAGGAAUUGAGGCUGCGCCAGCUGCUUUGGUUGGACACUUUUCUGGUCGCAAAGUGGGAAAGCAAGUUGUUCUUGUGGCUCGUGAUUGAUCAAUUUGGUCCUAUCGAUCUUGAUUUAAUGGACGGUGAGGAUUGAAUUGUGUAUUAAUUUAUAUCUAAAAUAAUUUGUGUUAGCUUCAAUAAAGAAUUACCAUUUUUAUACAUGUUAGAAACUAGAAACAAAGAGAUGAAACUUCUUUUUUCUUCUUUGAA
Long non-coding RNA from Salvia splendens (bonfire salvia), 693 nucleotides. RefSeq lists it as uncharacterized. The transcript has 4 exons. The record is from RefSeq and is a predicted model, not a curated record. Lineage: Eukaryota; Viridiplantae; Streptophyta; Magnoliopsida; Lamiales; Lamiaceae.